AAAUUGAAGAGUUUGAUCAUGGCUCAGAUUGAACGCUGGCGGCAGGCCUAACACAUGCAAGUCGAACGGUAACAGGAAGAAGCUUGCUUCUUUGCUGACGAGUGGCGGACGGGUGAGUAAUGUCUGGGAAACUGCCUGAUGGAGGGGGAUAACUACUGGAAACGGUAGCUAAUACCGCAUAACGUCGCAAGACCAAAGAGGGGGACCUUCGGGCCUCUUGCCAUCGGAUGUGCCCAGAUGGGAUUAGCUAGUAGGUGGGGUAACGGCUCACCUAGGCGACGAUCCCUAGCUGGUCUGAGAGGAUGACCAGCCACACUGGAACUGAGACACGGUCCAGACUCCUACGGGAGGCAGCAGUGGGGAAUAUUGCACAAUGGGCGCAAGCCUGAUGCAGCCAUGCCGCGUGUAUGAAGAAGGCCUUCGGGUUGUAAAGUACUUUCAGCGGGGAGGAAGGGAGUAAAGUUAAUACCUUUGCUCAUUGACGUUACCCGCAGAAGAAGCACCGGCUAACUCCGUGCCAGCAGCCGCGGUAAUACGGAGGGUGCAAGCGUUAAUCGGAAUUACUGGGCGUAAAGCGCACGCAGGCGGUUUGUUAAGUCAG
RNAcentral lists this ribosomal RNA (601 nucleotides) under Escherichia coli. RNAcentral's name for it is "bacterial SSU rRNA". It matches the Rfam family "Bacterial small subunit ribosomal RNA", at positions 1 to 591 of the family's 1533-position model. Lineage: Bacteria; Pseudomonadati; Pseudomonadota; Gammaproteobacteria; Enterobacterales; Enterobacteriaceae. The record is from RNAcentral.